Molecule: long non-coding RNA, 2381 nt
Filed under: Mytilus galloprovincialis (Mediterranean mussel)
Lineage: Eukaryota; Metazoa; Mollusca; Bivalvia; Mytilida; Mytilidae
Source: RNAcentral
AUAUGAAGACUCAAAAUCUGCAAUACGGAAAACUAGGGAGAGGAGUUUGAUGAAACAGAGCACUGAAAACGACUUUGGACACAACAUUCAAGCUUGAUUCUGUCUGAAUUUGGAUUGUGAUCAAACUUUUGACAUUGUAUAAGUGUCUGACACAAAAUAAAUGUCAAGAUCUUAUAAAUAUAUUGCACUGUGCAAUUAAAAAUUCUUCUUGAAAAUUAAAAAAAAAAAAUUAACUCCCUCCUUGGAGCAAUUACCCCUGUACACAAUUGACUAGACCUAUUGCUUAUAGUUUCCGAGAUAUGACCACCAAAACUCAACCUUGUUCACCGACCCAUGAAAUGGGGUGGAGGUAAAGUAUAAUCUGUUUGACGGGCAUGAGGACCUUUCACAUACCAAAUAAAGUUAUUGAGAAAAAUUGGCAAUACAAAAAUCAAGUAGUCACUGAACCAUGAAAAUGAAAUCCAGGACUAUGGAUAUGCAACUGACAGAAACUUCGCAACAUAAGGCAUCUAUAUACAAAGUAUGAACCAUCCAGGGCUUCCACCUUCUGAUAUAUAAAGCUUAAGAAGUUAGUUCACACUGCCGGAUGACCAUCCCUAUGUCCAGCUUUCUGGCGACAAAAGUUGAGGACUUGACAAUAAAACUAUAAAGUAAUUUCUCAUUAUCUUGAAGGUUGUUAAACGUGCAAUUGAAAUUGGAUACACACAUGUGUGCAAACACCUUUCUGAAGUAUACAGGUACACUCACAAGAGUAGUUUAAAUAAAAAGAAUCUACUGUUAUAUCAUUUUUCUAAUUCUUUGUCAAUUCAAACAAGCUAAAAGUGACACCACCCAAAUUGAAACUUAAUUGGUGUAAUGGCAAUAAAUAUUUGUUAGAAAUUUCCUAACAUUUGGUGAAAGUAAACUAAAGUGAGAUUAGAAACCAAUUUCGGGAAGUUUGUACAUACCAAGGUAAAACUAAAUGCCCCCUCCUCUACAGCAUACAAAAUCCACCACAUUGACCAAUGAACCAUAGAAAUGAGGUCAAACAAACUAGACCUGCCAAUGCAAUAUUUUCACACACAAAAUAAGACAACUUCAUAUCUUAAUUCAAUAAAUUAUUUCAGUGUUAGACGCCAAAUAUUUUUUUGUUGAAACCAUGAUUUCAUCAUCUUGUUUAUAGACCAUUGUUGGAAUUUUUACAAGUGUAGCAGGAACUCUAGAUUCUCCUCUUCAGUAGUAUAAAUACAGUCUGCACGGUUAGCCACUAUUCCUUUGCCCCUGACAAGUAAAAUUUCAUUUGGACUAGCAAACUUUGUUUGGACCAACAAGAAAAAUGUCAGAAUACUGGUCUUUAGACUUGUUGAAAAAGUUUUUGGUGCAGACUGCAAAUACCCUACCGAGCAGCUGAUUUUGCCUUGGGUUUUUGUUCUCCCUUGUUCAAUAUUUGAGAAUUUAGUUCUCACAGAAUGGUAUAAAUGCAUUUCUUAAAGAUGACAAUGUGACUGUUCUAUUAUUUGGUUUGGAUGUUGUCAAUCUGAUCUGCAGAAAAGUUCAGUUGCAGACAUUUUCAUAAUCAAGUUUUCUGUAUAUUGAUACUAUUGAAUAUAAGCUGGAAGUCGAUGUAUAUAGAUUUUUAUUAAAUGACCUCAGUGAUAAAAUUCAAAAUGUCUUCAAAUUGUAAGAUAAAAUCUGUGUUUUUAUGUGUGGCAGAAACAACAGGGUUCUUUUUUUAACAGCAAACUUGAAGAGAAAUUGUUCUAGUCAAACAUAUCCAACAUCACAAAGCAGUGAUAAACAAUUUCUAAUUUUUAGAAAGAGCUUAAUACUCUCUUUAUAUAAGCAAGGACAAAUAAAAAGAAAUGUAGGCAACAAGUAUGAUCUAAUUGUGGACUUAUAAAUGUAUCCUCAAUUAAAAACCUCAACUUAUUCUUUUGUAUCUCGUUCUACACAAGUUGUGUUCUAUUUACACAGACAUCACCAUGUGCAAUGUAGAUUUUGUUAUUGUAACUUGAUAUACAUUUUUAAAAUACAAGACACAAAUUCUUCCAUUUUUUUUUUAUUUGAUGCAGUCUCUAACAGUUUAUUUAGCUGCCAUUCUGCGAUCUCUCUCUUCAGCAAUACUCAAUUUGACACCUUUACCACGUGGAAGUGACACAUAUGGUUUGUUUCCUUUUCCGAUGAUGAAAACGUAACUUAAUCUGAAAAUAUAUAACAUACAUGUAUAAAUUGACAAACAUCAAAUAACAAAUUCCAAUACUUUUUUAUACAGCAAACAGUAAUUGUAAACUUCUACAUGUCAUUUGAUCUCUGGUGGUGUGUUGCAUCAUAAGCAAUCUUACCAAAUCUUAUUUUGUUUAAAUACAGGGUGGUUCUGAUCAUGCAUCAAUUACUUAAAAAGA